RNAcentral lists this ribosomal RNA (552 nucleotides) under uncultured bacterium. RNAcentral's name for it is "bacterial SSU rRNA". It matches the Rfam family "Bacterial small subunit ribosomal RNA", at positions 367 to 918 of the family's 1533-position model. The record is from RNAcentral.
GAGAAUAACGACGAGAGUCUGACCAGCCAAGUAGCGUGAAGGAUGACUGCCCUAUGGGUUGUAAACUUCUUUUAUAAGGGAAUAAAGUGAGGGACGUGUCCCUUUUUGUAUGUACCUUAUGAAUAAGGAUCGGCUAACUCCGUGCCAGCAGCCGCGGUAAUACGGAGGAUCCAAGCGUUAUCCGGAUUUAUUGGGUUUAAAGGGAGCGUAGGUUGACAUAUAAGUCAGCUGUGAAAGUUUACGGCUCAACCGUGAAAUUGCAGUUGAUACUGUAUGUCUUGAGUGUACAAGAGGUGGGCGGAAUUCGUGGUGUAGCGGUGAAAUGCUUAGAUAUCACGAAGAACUCCAAUUGCGAAGGCAGCUCACUGGGGUACAACUGACACUGAGGCUCGAAAGUGUGGGUAUCAAACAGGAUUAGAUACCCUGGUAGUCCACACAGUAAACGAUGAAUACUCGCUGUUUGCGAUAUACAGUAAGCGGCCAAGCGAAAGCAUUAAGUAUUCCACCUGGGGAGUACGCCGGCAACGGUGAAACUCAAAGGAAUUGACGGAG